RNAcentral lists this long non-coding RNA (514 nucleotides) under Rhipicephalus microplus (southern cattle tick). Its description in RNAcentral is "uncharacterized LOC119167626". Lineage: Eukaryota; Metazoa; Arthropoda; Arachnida; Ixodida; Ixodidae. The record is from RNAcentral.
UGUCGUGCGCCCAGUUGGUGGGAGGCAGCUGCCAUUCAGUGCAGCCUUGCACCAGGCACAUUUUUCUCUAUGUUGUGGCUCAAAGAAUGGGGCCUCUUCUUUGCUUUCUUGGCAGCUGGCUCAACUGUUAGGCACCCUGUAGGGACCCUCUUGGAUGCCAUUGUAAGCCCUGGCCUAUGCCUAGCAGUGCUGAUCGGUUGCACCCUUAUGUGACGGGCCUGGCAACGUCUUGCUGCAGCGGUAGCCUAGAGUGCCAGUUUCAGUCCUGUCCCAUCGCUGCUGUUCUGAACACGAGCAAGCUUCUCUCCAAGGCCCUUCACGAUAUCAAGGCUGGCCACCAAAAACAGUGUGAACCUCGGUGCUAAGGGCUUGAAUGCCACUGGGUUGUAGUGCCGCCAACAGCGAGGGGAUUGCGUCGAGAUGAAAAAAGAGGAUGCGCGUGAUCACGUGCGAUGCAGCAGCAAUACUGGCGCGAGGGGGACAGAAAAUAAAGAAAACAUUGGUUGUGUGAAAA